This 765-nucleotide ribosomal RNA is filed under the name uncultured bacterium. RNAcentral's name for it is "bacterial SSU rRNA". It matches the Rfam family "Bacterial small subunit ribosomal RNA", at positions 741 to 1501 of the family's 1533-position model. The record is from RNAcentral.
UGACGCUGAGGAGCGAAAGCGUGGGGAGCGAACAGGCUUAGAUACCCUGGUAGUCCACGCUGUAAACGGUGGGUACUAGGUGUGGGGUCCAUUCCACGGGUUCCGUGCCGUAGCUAACGCUUUAAGUACCCCGCCUGGGGAGUACGGCCGCAAGGCUAAAACUCAAAGGAAUUGACGGGGCCCCGCACAAGCGGCGGAGCAUGCGGAUUAAUUCGAUGCAACGCGUAGAACCUUACCUGGGUUUGACAUGGAUCGGGAGUGCUCAGAGAUGGGUGUGCCUCUUUUGGGGUCGGUUCACAGGUGGUGCAUGCCUGUCGUCAGCUCGUGUCGUGAGAUGUUGGGUUAAGUCCCGCAACGAGCGCAACCCUUGUUCACUGUUGCCAGCACGUUAUGGUGGGGACUCAGUGGAGACCGCCGGGGUCAACUCGGAGGAAGGUGGGGAUGACGUCAAGUCCUCAUGCCCCUUAUGUCCAGGGCUUCACGCAUGCUACAAUGGCUGGUACAGAGAGUGGCGAGCCUGUGAGGGUGAGCGAAUCUCGGAAAGCCGGUCUCAGUUCGGAUUGGGGUCUGCAACUCGACCUCAUGAAGUCGGAGUCGCUAGUAAUCGCAGAUCAGCAACGCUGCGGUGAAUACGUUCCCGGGGCUUGUACACACCGCCCGUCAAGUCAUGAAAGUUGGUAACACCCGAAGCCGGUGGCCUAACCGUUGUGGGGGAGCCGUCGAAGGUGGGACUGGUGAUUAGGACUAAGUCGUAACAAGGUAACC